Molecule: transfer RNA, 71 nt
Filed under: Pangasianodon gigas (Mekong giant catfish)
Lineage: Eukaryota; Metazoa; Chordata; Actinopteri; Siluriformes; Pangasiidae
Also listed under: 1 other name
Description: tRNA-Pro
Rfam family: tRNA
About the family: Transfer RNA (tRNA) molecules are approximately 80 nucleotides in length. Their secondary structure includes four short double-helical elements and three loops (D, anti-codon, and T loops).
Source: RNAcentral
CAAAGAGUAGUUUAAUUUAAUAAUACCUGCUUUGGGAGCCGGCGAUGAGAGUUUAAAUCUCUUCUCUUUGA